Non-coding RNA from Cyanistes caeruleus (blue tit), 1010 nucleotides. The record is from RefSeq and is a predicted model, not a curated record. Lineage: Eukaryota; Metazoa; Chordata; Aves; Passeriformes; Paridae.
UGGGUCAAACUGCAUGCCUGCCUGACUCCUCCAGCUUCCCCAUGGGCUGUCAAGUGCCCUACAAGCAGCAGCAACCCUGAUGGCUGCAGGUUACCACUCACAGCACUCCUUGGUCCUGAAUUUGGCACAUACUUCUGCUGAUUCAUCACCUGCAAUAACGAAAUUGAGCUGCAAGAGCACCACAGGUCAAGGAGUCUGUACGAGCACUGCAUGUCCUCCCGUUUUGCACUUUUGUUGGUAAAAGCCCAUGAGCAUUCAUCUAUCCCAGGAUACAAAUAGGUCUCUGCAUUAUCUCUGCCACUGAAAGCUUUACAAGGCCACCCUAACAGGGAGCAAGAAAAACAAUCAGUGGGAGAUAUGUCUGAUAUAACUUGUAUUUUUUAUUAAUAAGCUGCUGUUGAAAAAAUGAUGUGAAGACCGGUCUGCUGACUGGAAGAGGAACUUGCUAAUGAACAUCUGGCAUGGCAUGUUAAAUAAGCCUGUUUCUUCAUUGCAACGUAGAGGGGAGCUUGGGGAGGCACUCAGGACCCUCAGAAGGAAAGACUACAUGUAUACGAAUAAAAUGAUAAAUUCUGAUGUUCUUAGACUCUGCAGUUAGAGUAAACAGAAUAUAUAGCAAUAUAUAACAUUCUUAAAAUAAAUAUCUUGCUAGAAAACCUCCAUGCCCAGAGAGUCUACUGUUUGGUAGAGGUGCCAUCCCAGGGAUCAUAGUACAGCAAGAUACAGAGGAGCAAAUUCCUGUGUUUGGAACUUCUCUUUAAACUGUUUACUCCACUGGGGAGAUACUAGCAAAGAGUACAGAAUCCUCUGAAGAUUGUUUCCACUGCUAUUUCCUCUGUGUAGCUAUGGCAGGAUGAUUUUUUUGACAAAAACUUGUCCUUCUUUGUUGCUCUGUAAGAGUGGGUUAAGUUGUCUCCUCACAUGAAGUUUUUCCUGAAUCCUUUUCUCUUCUGUGGUCUUUAUCUCUCUGUUGCACUGUGCUCUCAGUAAAAGAACCCCUCUGGUACAAA